UACAGAGGGUGCGAGCGUUGUUCGGAAUUAUUGGGCGUAAAGGGCGCGUAGGCGGUGCGGUAAGUCACCUGUGAAAUCUCCUGGCUCAACUGGGAGCUUGCAGGCGAAACUGCCGUGCUGGAGUGUGGGAGAGGUGCGUGGAAUUCCUGGUGUAGCGGUGGAAUGCGUAGAGAUCCGGAAGAACACCGGUGGCGAAGGCGGUCUGCUGGGCCAAGACUGACGCUGAGGCGCGACAGCGUGGGGAGC
This 246-nucleotide ribosomal RNA is filed under the name uncultured bacterium. RNAcentral's name for it is "partial 16S ribosomal RNA". It matches the Rfam family "Bacterial small subunit ribosomal RNA", at positions 524 to 769 of the family's 1533-position model. The record is from RNAcentral.